This is a long non-coding RNA of Lemur catta (Ring-tailed lemur), 1168 nucleotides long. RefSeq lists it as uncharacterized. NCBI's taxonomy places the organism in Eukaryota, Metazoa, Chordata, Mammalia, Primates, Lemuridae. The record is from RefSeq and is a predicted model, not a curated record. The transcript is spliced from 3 exons.
AGAGCACUGACUGGCUUUUUCUACCGAGACCAGCAGACAACAUGGUUGAGAACAAGCUGGCCCAGGAAUACAGAAGUUCGAGUUGUUAAGCCAGGGAAACCAGCACCUGAACAAGCAUGGAAUUAUAAUGAUUUGUCAAAAAACCACCCAGCCCUCUGGAAAGGCCUGUGACUCCACCUGACUGUUUGAUGUCAUUAGCACAGUCUAAGCAGAAACACUACAGAAAUCUUGUACUUUGACUUCAGGUGUCAAGAUCAAAAAAGAAAUGGAUUGGCACAUUCAGGCACGAACAGCCCUCCCUCCAGUGAACAGAGACAGCCAAACCUGACGGACCUCCCUCCUGAGUCAUCAUUCAACAGCUCCUGGGCCCACAGCCCACCGCUCUCCUCCUUGUCUCACAGAUCUGCACUGGAACCCUGGAUCCGCCACAUCCUGGCUGUGUGGCUUUGGGUAGCUCACUUAACCUCUCUCAGUCUCCAUUUCUUCCUAUGUAAAAGCAGACCAUGAAAAUUCCUACUUCCUAAAGGCUGUUGUGGGGAUAAAAGUAUGGCAAAGGCUUACCUCAGUGUCUAGCACGUGGAAAGCACCAAUAAAUGACAGGGAACUGAUGUCCACUAUCACCGCCACACAUACGUGACCCAUUCUGCUUUUCUACUUCACACUCCGGCCAGGAAACCUGCGGUCCACAAGACUUGAAACUUGAGUGACUUGUGGACCACACCAUGGGCCUCACCUGCGUCGCGCUUGUUCCUCUCAAUCAGUGGCUUGGAGUCACCUGGGAAACUUAUAAACAACAGACUCCUGGGCUGCUCACUCAUAGAUGCUAACUGAAGAGAUCUGUGUGGGUACCCAGGGAUCUGCAUUUCUAACCAGCACCCCAGGCUACUCGGUGGCCAGCAGGCCACUGACCACGCCACGUGUACCCCCAGCCUUCCCCUUCCCGUCCUCUAAUUAUGCUACACUCUCCGAGGCCUGCCUUAAGUUUCUACCCACCUCAUCCAGGAAGCUUCCUCCCGUCACUCCAGCCCAAGAUGAUCUCUCUACUCUGUAUAAUUACUCAUCUGUCACUCAUCACUGAUGAGCAUGGGCCAUUAUCCCUCCACAUACACUUGCUUCUGUGCCCCUGGAAGCAGGGGCCAUGGCUAUACAUAUCUGUGCUCAAACACCU